RNAcentral lists this long non-coding RNA (886 nucleotides) under Citrus maxima (pomelo). Its description in RNAcentral is "long non-coding RNA (CMAX_LNC002464)". The record is from RNAcentral. Lineage: Eukaryota; Viridiplantae; Streptophyta; Magnoliopsida; Sapindales; Rutaceae.
CCGCGUCCAGAUAUCCUACCAAAAUGACUUUUGAAUAAGGGUGGGUAAAAUACCUGACCCAAUCCGAUCCGAUCCGACCCAAUCCAAAAAAAUUUAAGUUUGGAUCGGUUCGGGUUGUUAUUGAAACCCGAACGGGUGAAAAAUUGUAAACCCGAUCGGGUUGUGAUCGGGUCAGAUAAAACCCGAUCCGAUCCGAAUACCCAAUCGGAUCGCACCAAAAAAAAAAACUCACUAAACCUAUAAACACAUCACACAUGCACACACUAGACACCACACACACAGGCACACACAAAGUCACAACUCAAAACCAAUUGGCUAAAAAAAAAAUUGACAAAUAAAAAACAAAAUCAAAUUAUAACCCAUGCACACAACCGCACACAAACAAAUCUCGCUGCCUUCACAGCCCUUAUCCUCACAGCCCUCAUCCUUACACUCACGACUUCACACACACACACAUCGCAAAAGCCAAAAGCAAAGCAUCAACUGGCAGCCAACGCAAAGAAGAGAGCGGAGGAAGCGUAACCGGCGCAUGCAACCACCUAACCCGUGACUGGAUCUGCUGCUUCGCGACAUCCGUAGCUACCAGAUCUGCUGUUGCCGGAUAUCUACUGGAUCUGCUGCUGCUGGAUCCGCUGCACUGCUAUCAGAUCUGCUGCUGCUGCCUCCACCAUCACCAAGUUCCACCGCAAACCGGCAACCCGAAUUCUUUUCUUUUUUGAUGUUUUGAUGGUAUAUAAUAAUAUAUUAUAUAUUAUCUGUUAAUUGCUAAGUAUAUGUAUUGUUAAAUGUUAAUAAUAAAAUGAGGGAAAUUCUUGUAUGGAAAAUUUUGGAGCUUAAUUUAUCAAGUCCGUGGAAGUUUAAAUUAUAAGUAUGAAUUGAUUUUUUU